CUCCAGCAGUUAAUUAAGGUCACAAAUAAUAUCAGAGCUCUGAAUUUCACUGUGGUGAUCAGGGUUCCUGUGAAGCUCGGUGACAAAGACAUUUGGGUGGAUAUGAACAGUUUGCAGAUUACAGAUUGCCAGAAAAGCACAGAUGAAAAACCUGAUGUCACAGAUUUUAUUGAGAGGAUAAAGGAAAAUAAAGUUGUGGUUAGUAUACAUUUAAAGUAUUCCUGUGUAAUAAAAGUACCUAAUAAGAAAUAACAGC
This is a long non-coding RNA of Nematolebias whitei (Rio pearlfish), 256 nucleotides long. RefSeq lists it as uncharacterized. The transcript is spliced from 3 exons. Lineage: Eukaryota; Metazoa; Chordata; Actinopteri; Cyprinodontiformes; Rivulidae. The record is from RefSeq and is a predicted model, not a curated record.